This is a long non-coding RNA of Sorghum bicolor (sorghum), 281 nucleotides long. RefSeq lists it as uncharacterized. The record is from RefSeq and is a predicted model, not a curated record. The transcript has 3 exons. NCBI's taxonomy places the organism in Eukaryota, Viridiplantae, Streptophyta, Magnoliopsida, Poales, Poaceae.
UACAUUAAAUAUUCAUACCUACUUUUAUAAGAGUUUCAGAAUAACUUGAGGAUUGUGUAUUCGAUACUAUAGGGCCUAUAGGUAUUAUAAGAUCAAAGGUGGAAGGUGCGAUUCAUCAAAACCGGGGCAGCCAUUGAGAUUAUUUUAUAAAUGGCCGUGCCAUAAGCAACCAGUCGGAUCGGUCCACUGUGGAUUCUACGUCUGCGAGUUCAUGAGAGAGACCGGAAGAUAUGUAACUAACCCUUCUAAGCAACAUGAGUUGGAAAAGGCGAAGAGCGUGA